This 253-nucleotide ribosomal RNA is filed under the name uncultured bacterium. RNAcentral's name for it is "partial 16S ribosomal RNA". It matches the Rfam family "Bacterial small subunit ribosomal RNA", at positions 524 to 776 of the family's 1533-position model. The record is from RNAcentral.
UACGGAGGGUGCAAGCGUUAUCCGGAAUCACUGGGUUUAAAGGGUGCGUAGGCGGCGUUGUAAGUCAGUGGUGAAAGUUUGCAGCUUAACUGUAAAAUUGCCAUUGAUACUGCAGUGCUUGAGUACAGAUGAGGUGGGCGGAAUGUGUCAUGUAGCGGUGAAAUGCAUAGAUAUGACACAGAACACCGAUUGCGAAGGCAGCUCACUAAACUGUAACUGACGCUGAGGCACGAAAGCGUGGGGAUCAAACAGG